This 490-nucleotide ribosomal RNA is filed under the name uncultured bacterium. Its description in RNAcentral is "partial 16S ribosomal RNA". It matches the Rfam family "Bacterial small subunit ribosomal RNA", at positions 28 to 507 of the family's 1533-position model. The record is from RNAcentral.
GAUGAACGCUAGCUCCAGGCUUAACACAUGCAAGUCGCGGGGCAGCAUGGGGGUUGCUUGCAAUCCCCGAUGGCGACCGGCGCACGGGUGAGUAACGCGUAUCCAACCUGCCCUUCACCACGGGAUAACCCGGCGAAAGUCGGACUAAUACCGUAUGUUGUCCAUUGACGGCAUCCGAUUUGGACGAAAGGCUUGGCGGUGAGGGAUGGGGAUGCGUCCGAUUAGCCAGACGGCGGGGUAACGGCCCACCGUGGCUACGAUCGGUAGGGGUUCUGAGAGGAAGGUCCCCCACACUGGAACUGAGACACGGUCCAGACUCCUACGGGAGGCAGCAGUGAGGAAUAUUGGUCAAUGGGCGUAAGCCUGAACCAGCCAAGUAGCGUGCAGGAUGACGGCCCUAUGGGUUGUAAACUGCUUUUAUGCGGGGAUAAAGUGGCCCACGUGUGGGCUUUUGCAGGUACCGCAUGAAUAAGGACCGGCUAAUUCCGUG